Molecule: unclassified non-coding RNA, 560 nt
Filed under: Tubifex tubifex (sludge worm)
Lineage: Eukaryota; Metazoa; Annelida; Clitellata; Tubificida; Naididae
Description: sequence contains ITS2
Rfam family: 5.8S ribosomal RNA (bases 4-124)
Source: RNAcentral
GGGUCGAUGAAGAACGCAGCCAGCUGCGUGAAGUAAUGUGAAUUGCAGGACACAUUGAACAUCGAUAUCUUGAACGCACAUUGCGGCCUCGGGUAUUCCCGAGGCCACGCCUGUCUCAGGGUCGGUUGAACCUAUCUAUCGUCGGUUGUCCGUAUUUGCCGACGCCUUGGACCGUCGCGGCGCGUUGACCGUAAAGCGUAAUCGGCUGACCGUAAUUGCCGAGAGCGCAGCGCGCCACGUCGUCCGAAGUACAGACGGGUCUGCCGCGAUGCUUUGCCGACCGGACGUCCUCAAUCCGCCUGUCGAUCGGACGGGGACGGCGACUCGGACCGUAAAGAGUAGCCGUUGUCUGUCCCGGCGGUACGGUUGGCAUAGCGUUGACGUUCGGCGGGCCCACGUAAGAAGCGAGCGUGCGUGCGGGCGGACGGAUGGAAGGACGGUUGGACGGGCGGGAAACUGCCUGACCGACUGGCCGACCGACCGACUGCCUGCGUGCGCGCCGGUAUUACACUGUCUUCGACCUGAGAUCAGACGAGAUUACCCGCUGAAUUUAAGCAUAU